RNAcentral lists this transfer RNA (71 nucleotides) under Marmota monax (woodchuck). RNAcentral describes it as "tRNA.Ala". Lineage: Eukaryota; Metazoa; Chordata; Mammalia; Rodentia; Sciuridae. The record is from RNAcentral.
GGGGUGCUAGAUCAGUGGUAGAGCACUUGCCUAGCAUGUGUGAGGCACUGGGUUCAAUUCUCAGCACCACA